Molecule: long non-coding RNA, 1313 nt
Organism: Oncorhynchus mykiss (rainbow trout)
Lineage: Eukaryota; Metazoa; Chordata; Actinopteri; Salmoniformes; Salmonidae
Source: RefSeq, a predicted model, not a curated record
UCGGCUCUUGGUCGACCAGAACACGGCACCAUUUAGGACAGGCCCCAUCAAGAAAGGUUUACACUAAUCUCCUCAAAGUAGUUUCUGACUCGAUGCGACAAUACCUCUCAGGCCCUCUGAUCUAUCUGUUGAGGCGGGGUAUAAAGUCCUCGCCUCCCGCCUGGAGAAGGGCCCACGUUGAGCCACACUCAACCGCGCAGCAUGACGAGAGGAAGCCUGAGCGCGAGUUCCCUCAACGGGACAUCUUUCUCCUUACCAUCAUACUUUCCUUUUUAUGUUGGAGCAACAGACAUCUCCUCAUGCUUGACAAACACGAUUCUAUCAACAACACAGACAAAAAAAAAGCGCGAUCCUUCAGCAUAGAAGUGAUUCAUUCCGUGGGUCUUUCCGGGGAAGCAGCCGCACAACAAGCCAUGCACAUCCAGCCACCAGACGGAGGCGCACUGCACCAUCCGGCGAUGCUGACUUGGGCGCAUUUUGGAGACACAAAUUCACUUCACCCAGUUUACUAGAGGCGUCUAAGUGGUUAUAAUCAAGUUCUGUAGAACGGACAACCGGACAGUCUAUAGGGGAACCUUCGUGCGGAGAUCCCGCACUAUCUACACACCGACAACCAGCUGACUAAACUAGAUGAGGUGUGCAGUAAGCAGCGGUACAUGACCGGGACCGAGAAGAUUAUUCUGGCCUCAUCGCUGAGACACGGGUCAAGGUCUGGUUCCAGGACAGGAGAACGCGGUGGAGGAAGGCCCACGGGGACAUUAUCGGUGUACCGGAGAGACACGCUCACGGUGAAACGUCGAGCAAGGAGGAGGAUGAGUUGGACAAUGACGAGUUUUUUUAAAUAUGUUUUAUAUUAGUAAAUGCCUUGAGCCCACCACACACAUUCAUGGUGAUUCUUGAAUUCUUAUUAUUGUCAAACAAGAGAUAAUAUUGCCGAUAUUUUACCACUGCGUGGCCUGGCAUGGUAUGCUUGUGCUCAUCAGCUGACAACUAGGCUAUGAGUCACUGAAGAUUUAGCCAUAUAAUUUGUGUAAUAUAUUUUAUAUUCCCCAUAUCACAACAUUCCUUAUGUGAUUUAAUUUUCCCCUGCAUUCCUUUUACACAUGCAGUUUUUAUUGGGUUUCCUUUCAGUUUAUGUGGCGGCAUUUAUCCACGUACCGAACCCAGGAUAUAGGCCUAGCUUUAUACCGAACCCAGGAUAUAGGCCUAGCUUUAUACCGAACCCAGGAUAUAGGCCUAGCUUUAUACCGAACCCAGGAUAUAGGCCUAGCUUUAUACCGAACCCAGGAUAUAGGCCUAGCUUUAUACCGAAC